GUGAAUCAUCGAAUUUUUGAACGCAAAUUGCACUUUCUGGUAUUCCGGAAAGCAUGCCUGUUUGAGGGUCAGUUAAAUAAAAAUCGGUUUUGAUGCUGCCUUUCGUGGUGACGCGCCGGAAUUGGUUUGCCUUACCUUCGGUUAAGUGACUUAAAAUUGUUGCUUGAUUUUCGUACGUCUUUAAAUUGCUUACGUACGUUUGAGAUAUCGAAUGCUUAUU
Molecule: unclassified non-coding RNA, 220 nt
Filed under: Glomeraceae sp.
Lineage: Eukaryota; Fungi; Glomeromycota; Glomeromycetes; Glomerales; Glomeraceae
Description: partial contains 5.8S ribosomal RNA and internal transcribed spacer 2
Rfam family: 5.8S ribosomal RNA (bases 1-71)
Source: RNAcentral